Molecule: ribosomal RNA, 539 nt
Filed under: uncultured bacterium
Lineage: Bacteria
Description: bacterial SSU rRNA
Rfam family: Bacterial small subunit ribosomal RNA
Source: RNAcentral
AGAGUUUGAUCCUGGCUCAGAAUCAACGCUGGCGGCGUGCCUCAGACAUGCAAGUCGAACGCGAAAGUCCCCUUCGGGGGGCAAGUAGAGUGGCGCACGGGUGAGUAACACGUAGGUAAUCUACCUUUGGAUUGGGAAUAACAACCGGAAACGGUUGCUAAUACCGAAUAAUGCAGCGGCACCUAAUGGUGACAGUUGUUAAAGCGGGGGAUCGCAAGACCUCGCGUCUGAAGAGGAGCCUGCGGCGGAUUAGCUAGUUGGUAGGGUAACGGCUUACCAAGGCGAUGAUCCGUAGCCGGCCUGAGAGGGCGGUCGGCCACACUGACACUGACAUACGGGUCAGACUCCUACGGGAGGCAGCAGUCGGGAAUUUUGGGCAAUGGGCGAAAGCCUGACCCAGCAACGCCGCGUGAAGGAUGAAAUCCCUCGGGAUGUAAACUUCGCAAGAACGGGAAGAAUAAGUAAGAGUUAAUAUCUCUUACGAUGACGGUACUGUUUGUAAGCUCCGGCUAACUCCGUGCCAGCCGCCGCGGUAAUAC